Long non-coding RNA from Canis lupus familiaris (dog), 1591 nucleotides. RefSeq lists it as uncharacterized. The transcript is spliced from 5 exons. The record is from RefSeq and is a predicted model, not a curated record. NCBI's taxonomy places the organism in Eukaryota, Metazoa, Chordata, Mammalia, Carnivora, Canidae.
UUUUUUAAAAAGAAAACCUGAUUGAAGUAUAAUUAAUAUAGUGUUAUAUUAGUUUCAGGUGCACAAUAUAAUGAUUCAGCAGUUUUAUACAUUUCUCAUCACUCUUCAUGAUAAGUCUAUAUUCUUAAUCCCCUUUAUCUAUUUCACCAUUCCCCUCCCCAAAAAACCUCACCUCUGGCAACUACCAGUUUGUCCUCUGUAUUUGUUAAAACAGAAUAAUUUUCCUGAUUUUAAAAGAAUUUUAAAAUAAAAAUAAUGCAAUGUAUCUAUCCAAAAUUAAUUACUCAAGUUAAGGAUAUGUACAGUGGUCUACAUAAGACAUAGCUAUAUCUAAUUUCAGAGUUAUGUAUUAGUAAUAUUUUUGUCAGGUAUCCCUGCUCAAUGUAAUUUUUAAAGGAAAUCUACUGUAAAAACUGCACUGAAAAUAAGAUCCAUACCCCCACUCCUUCCAUAAUUGCAGCCACUCUCUUUUUCCAUUACCACCCCCACAACACAAAUAAUUGGAUUAGCAUCCCCAAAAAAAGGAGCUAAGGAGAAUGUAGAAAAGGUAAAGAUGGAAACGAAGUGGUCUCACCUAUGAUCAUGGGAAAAGCAAUCAAUCAACCAAUAAUAAAGAUAACUGUGCGAGUCUUAAUUUUGACCAAAAAUCCAUGAAUUUUUUUGAUAGGAAUUUGAUUUGAAGUAUUAUUUUUCUCACAGUGGUUCCAGAACAGAGUUUGCCCUGGCUAAACAGCUGCUCUCUUUAUCCCUCGGGCUACCAAUGACAAAGAAGCCUGGACACAAGGGCUUGCUGAGAGCCUCCAAACCAGAAUGACCUCCCCAGGACCCUGAAUCUGCAAGAGCAACCUUUCUAAGUUUCACCUCCUGAAACUGAAUGACUUUGCAUCAUUCCCUGAAAGAGACCCCACAUUUGUGGGAUAACCAUUCUUCUCUGAUUCCAAACUGCUUCCAGAGCAAAUGUGCCCCAACAUGUCAUAUGAAGGAGGCUGCACAUUUUGACAUUUUGAUGUUAGUAUCAGCCUUAUUGAUGAAUAGUCCCAAGUUUGGAAGUAUUUUGAAAGCUGCCCUUGUCUGCCGCAGUAGGGAUGCGCAAACCUGAUUAGACUUUCAUAGUCCACAGUGAGCAUUAAUUUGUUCAGCGCUGUCUUCAGGUGGAACAUCUGCAUAAAUCUAGCUUUGUGAAUAUUUUUAAACUGAGAGAUUUUCCAUCUGUUUUGGAGUUAUAGCAGUCCACAUUAUCCUCACUUGAGCUCUUAAUGAUAUAUGUGUGAUGGAAACAAGACGUCUUAACGUACAUUCAUGGACACCAUGGAUCCCAGAGAGAAGCUGACAGAAACAGUCUGACCUCCACUGUAUCAGUGAGGUCAACUGCUUGAUCUCUGGUGCCUAAGAUUAUUGCAGGGAAAUGUUUGAUGAGGAAAAGAAAGUAAUCAAAUUCCUGGAUGAGUUAUGCAAUAGGUUAAGAAGAAAAGUCUGAAGUAAGCUAUAACUAAGUUCUUUGCAACCUUGCUCUUCAACGUGUGGUUAAAAAAAAAAAACACAAAGCAAAUAAACAAAAAAAAGCAAAAAUAGACCCAUAAAUACAGAAUAA